CGAGCCGGUGGCCGAGACGGCGCAGCCGUCGGCGUUGGAGGCGUAGGUGCCGGCGCCGAUGAUCGGCACGUCGCCGACCCGGCC
Molecule: transfer RNA, 84 nt
Filed under: Brevundimonas intermedia
Lineage: Bacteria; Pseudomonadati; Pseudomonadota; Alphaproteobacteria; Caulobacterales; Caulobacteraceae
Description: tRNA-Ser
Source: RNAcentral